ACAAACUUGGUCAUUUAGAGGAAGUAAAAGUCGUAACAAGGUUUCCGUAGGUGAACCUGCGGAAGGAUCAUUAUCGUAUUUCAAUCGGGGAGGUUCGGGUCGGCCCUGCACCGGCGGAGACGCCGUGCUGCGGGCCCCCGGCCGCCCUUCCACACCAAACCCCUGUGCACCUUUUGGGAAGGCGCGAAAGCGUCGGCCCCUUUCUCACAAGCUCUGCUUCUAAAGAAUGAUCAGCGGGCGUAUGCCCGUCUAAAACAUGUAACAACUUUCAACAACGGAUCUCUUGGCUCUCGCAUCGAUGAAGAACGCAGC
Molecule: unclassified non-coding RNA, 312 nt
Filed under: uncultured fungus
Lineage: Eukaryota; Fungi
Description: partial contains small subunit ribosomal RNA, internal transcribed spacer 1, and 5.8S ribosomal RNA
Rfam family: Eukaryotic small subunit ribosomal RNA (bases 1-73)
Source: RNAcentral